Molecule: ribosomal RNA, 451 nt
Filed under: uncultured bacterium
Lineage: Bacteria
Description: bacterial SSU rRNA
Rfam family: Bacterial small subunit ribosomal RNA
Source: RNAcentral
ACGAACGCUGGCGGCGUGCCUAACACAUGCAAGUCAAGGGGUAGCAAUACCACUGGCGGACGGGUGAGUAACGCGUAGGUCAUCUGCCUUUAUCCGGAACAUAACAUCGAGAAAUCGAUGCUAAUAUUCCAUGAGGCCCGCAAGGGUCAAAGCUUCACGGUGGAUAAAGAUGAGCCUGCGUCUGAUUAGCUUGUUGGUGAGGUAAUGGCUCACCAAGGCAUCGAUCAGUAGCUGGUCUGAGAGGACGAUCAGCCACACUGGAACUGAGACACGGUCCAGACUCCUACGGGAGGCAGCAGUGAGGAAUUUUGGUCAAUGGGCGAAAGCCUGAACCAGCGACGCCGCGUGCGGGAUGAAGGAGCUUUGCUUCGUAAACCGCUGUCGGGUGGGAAGAAAAGCAGGGUCGCCCUGCUGGGACUGUACCACAAAAGGAAGGAUCGGCUAACUACGU